Molecule: long non-coding RNA, 887 nt
Organism: Tigriopus californicus
Lineage: Eukaryota; Metazoa; Arthropoda; Copepoda; Harpacticoida; Harpacticidae
Exons: 3
Source: RefSeq, a predicted model, not a curated record
CGCUAUGGUAACCCAGCUGACUUUGGUCUCUUCAGGCAAAGCGCAACUGUUGAAGGUGUCAUCUUUCUCAAGAGCCCAUUCUUUUACCCUCAUUCCCGGACAAGCUCCGUGGACUAGUUGAGCAUGGUUGCGCCCUUCAAAGCUUCUGAGGCCAAGAACCAGCUCCUUAGAAGUCCACAGCGGUUGGAAUUCGAAAACUUCCCCCCCGAGUUGAUGUUUUCUCACUCCUGGCCGGUUCACAGACAAAUGCCGAAGCUUUCUGCCGGGCUUUUAGUGCUUGUCGAUGUGAGCGAAAUCUCGGAAAUCAAAGUGGGCGGGUCCAAGAACUCCUGAUUGCUAUCGGAUCAAAAUAAAGUGUGACACUUUCACCACCGGGCACGUCGACUAACUUUGAUCUCCCCGGAAAGUUGCUCGGACACUUGGUCUAAUAUUGUGAAAGCUUCUGGCAAAUUCAAUUGAGCCUCACUCUUGACACAAUGACGACGAACCUGUGGUGCCAAUUGGAUCCCCAGCAUGGAAUGGUGACCCCUUUGGUCCAUCAUUAAUUCUAUCCCUUUGUCAUGUGGUUAAUCCUCCUCCUCCUCCUUCUCCUGUUCUUAUUGCUCUGUCCUACUCAAGCGGGUGGGGUCUCUGACCAAAGUAGUCAUUUCUCUAGAUAAUGCGAACAAAUAUGAAGAGGUCUAUUGAUUAAUCAUAAAUUCAUGGACGGAAAGAAAUCUCUUAACAGAUAAUGAACCGCUUCCCAAAGUGGCUAUGUCGAUCAAGGAAUACAUGUAUGAGACGCCAUAAUGGCUGAGCGAAUUGGUGCCUCCCGGGCUUUGCGCUCAUUUAAAUAUUGCACUGGUAAUCACAUCACCACCUUGAGCAUGAAGCAAAUAAUCAAAAUC